CUCAGCCCCCCCCCCGCCAGGAAUAGGGUUAACCGCACUGUCUCCUCGAACUGUCUAUCUGUCUCCUCGAUCCUUAUAAAUUUAUCGUCGUCUCAAUCAUUGUGGUGAAACAAAUGCAGCUGUCGGAGGUAUUCUAUGUCUACCGUAUGUUGGAUAUGGAACGACACCUAGUAUGUACCCUACAGUGCUGAAAUGGCCUACAUUUUGGCCGAAAUUGGGUCUUUCUAUCAAAAUAGCAAAACACAAACACGCCACUAAUAAAAUAAUUAUUCCAAAACCAAGAUCCAGUGGUACCGAACAGUUAACUUUGAUUUUGAAAUCACAAACUUGUUUUCUGACGAUACCCUCCCAGUCCGCAUCCAUCUCCUGCAAUCCACAAAGGCUGUCACAAAACUACUUCGUGCAUUCUUGCAAAGCGUUUUCCUGUGACAGAAAGGUAAGCUGGCGAUCACUGGUUUAUAUUGGUGAAAUGGGUCUUUUUACUCCCACAGCUUGAUGAAGCGAUGUCGAAGACGUUUGCGGACAGAAGGAUCCUGGUGGUGACGAAGAGGCUAUCCGUACCCAAGCUGAAGAAGCUCUACCCUGCCCUCUUUCAGGAAAUGGAGAUCUGGGCGGAGCUUGCCCGAAUCAGGGGCGGUUGAUCGACCAAGGAGAAUGAGCUGGAGAGGGCGCGUGAGAACCUUUCCAAGGUGCUCACAAAGUUCCAAGUCUGUGAAACGAAUGAAGCUGCGCUGGAGCAUCUCCUCAUCGAACUUCGCGAGGAAGACGCUCUUUACGCGGCACCGACGGCCGGAGGUCCAAUGGUUAUAUGGCGUGAUGCCAUCUGGGUCGAGGGAGAGAAGGUAGCUGAUUUUGAGAUACUGAACAAGAUCGACCAGUUCCUCACAUGGGAUGCUGCGUUCUCGGUGUUCGCUCAAAAGCCGACCAAGAAAAGCACGCGGUGCUCCGCAUACCUGGCAACCGUUAUGGUUCUCCAAACAGACGUGCUGAAGCCCCCGAAAGGCCUGGAGCGUAUCACUCAGUAAGCGUCAAGCUCAGUAGAUUCGUGUCGCCUGACUGUCCAUCUGAGGCCCGACUGAGUCGGGUAAGACUUACCUUUUUCCGUCUUGCGGAACUUCUUCACUGUCAGUGGGCCGAGAUAGUCGUGUGUUGAAAGGUCGUCUCAUGUCGACUCUCGCCUCUGGCAGGUCAGCCAUCCUGGGUAGCUGAGGGGUGGCUCUGCGGUUGCGGCAGAACGCACACUUCUGUUGACACACUUCUGUUCACACUUCUGUUGACACGAAAUGACAACAGAUGUGCUGUCAUUUCGGUUUGUGUCGUGUUUUUUUUUUUAAUAAAGUCGUUCGCCAAAAACA
This is a long non-coding RNA of Amphibalanus amphitrite, 1355 nucleotides long. RefSeq lists it as uncharacterized. The transcript is spliced from 3 exons. NCBI's taxonomy places the organism in Eukaryota, Metazoa, Arthropoda, Thecostraca, Balanomorpha, Balanidae. The record is from RefSeq and is a predicted model, not a curated record.